GCCACUGUAGCUCAGCGGUAGAAAGAGCGACGGUUUCGUAAACCGUAGGCCGGGGGUUCGAGACCCUCCAGUGGCUCCA
RNAcentral lists this transfer RNA (79 nucleotides) under Methanobacteriota archaeon. RNAcentral describes it as "Euryarchaeota archaeon (anaerobic digester metagenome) tRNA-Thr". It matches the Rfam family "tRNA". From Rfam's summary of the family: Transfer RNA (tRNA) molecules are approximately 80 nucleotides in length. Their secondary structure includes four short double-helical elements and three loops (D, anti-codon, and T loops). The record is from RNAcentral. Lineage: Archaea; Methanobacteriati; Methanobacteriota.